RNAcentral lists this ribosomal RNA (2240 nucleotides) under Salmonella enterica. RNAcentral's name for it is "partial 23S ribosomal RNA". It matches the Rfam family "Bacterial large subunit ribosomal RNA", at positions 711 to 2925 of the family's 2925-position model. The record is from RNAcentral. Lineage: Bacteria; Pseudomonadati; Pseudomonadota; Gammaproteobacteria; Enterobacterales; Enterobacteriaceae.
AGACCCGAAACCCGGUGAUCUAGCCAUGGGCAGGUUGAAGGUUGGGUAACACUAACUGGAGGACCGAACCGACUAAUGUUGAAAAAUUAGCGGAUGACCUGUGGCUGGGGGUGAAAGGCCAAUCAAACCGGGAGAUAGCUGGUUCUCCCCGAAAGCUAUUUAGGUAGCGCCUCGUGAAUUCAUCUCCGGGGGUAGAGCACUGUUUCGGCUAGGGGGUCAUCCCGACUUACCAACCCGAUGCAAACUGCGAAUACCGGAGAAUGUUAUCACGGGAGACACACGGCGGGUGCUAACGUCCGUCGUGAAGAGGGAAACAACCCAGACCGCCAGCUAAGGUCCCAAAGUCAUGGUUAAGUGGGAAACGAUGUGGGAAGGCCCAGACAGCCAGGAUGUUGGCUUAGAAGCAGCCAUCAUUUAAAGAAAGCGUAAUAGCUCACUGGUCGAGUCGGCCUGCGCGGAAGAUGUAACGGGGCUAAACCAUGCACCGAAGCUGCGGCAGCGACACUGUGUGUUGUUGGGUAGGGGAGCGUUCUGUAAGCCUGUGAAGGUGGCCUGUGAGGGUUGCUGGAGGUAUCAGAAGUGCGAAUGCUGACAUAAGUAACGAUAAAGCGGGUGAAAAGCCCGCUCGCCGGAAGACCAAGGGUUCCUGUCCAACGUUAAUCGGGGCAGGGUGAGUCGACCCCUAAGGCGAGGCCGAAAGGCGUAGUCGAUGGGAAACGGGUUAAUAUUCCCGUACUUGGUGUUACUGCGAAGGGGGGACGGAGAAGGCUAUGUUGGCCGGGCGACGGUUGUCCCGGUUUAAGCGUGUAGGUGUGUGUUCCAGGUAAAUCCGGUUCACUUUAACACUGAGGCGUGACGACGAGGCACUACGGUGCUGAAGCAACAAAUGCCCUGCUUCCAGGAAAAGCCUCUAAGCAUCAGGUAACAUCAAAUCGUACCCCAAACCGACACAGGUGGUCAGGUAGAGAAUACCAAGGCGCUUGAGAGAACUCGGGUGAAGGAACUAGGCAAAAUGGUGCCGUAACUUCGGGAGAAGGCACGCUGACACGUAGGUGAAGUGAUUUACUCACGGAGCUGAAGUCAGUCGAAGAUACCAGCUGGCUGCAACUGUUUAUUAAAAACACAGCACUGUGCAAACACGAAAGUGGACGUAUACGGUGUGACGCCUGCCCGGUGCCGGAAGGUUAAUUGAUGGGGUCAGCGCAAGCGAAGCUCCUGAUCGAAGCCCCGGUAAACGGCGGCCGUAACUAUAACGGUCCUAAGGUAGCGAAAUUCCUUGUCGGGUAAGUUCCGACCUGCACGAAUGGCGUAAUGAUGGCCAGGCUGUCUCCACCCGAGACUCAGUGAAAUUGAACUCGCUGUGAAGAUGCAGUGUACCCGCGGCAAGACGGAAAGACCCCGUGAACCUUUACUAUAGCUUGACACUGAACAUUGAGCCUUGAUGUGUAGGAUAGGUGGGAGGCUUUGAAGCGUGGACGCCAGUCUGCGUGGAGCCGACCUUGAAAUACCACCCUUUAAUGUUUGAUGUUCUAACGUGGACCCGUGAUCCGGGUUGCGGACAGUGUCUGGUGGGUAGUUUGACUGGGGCGGUCUCCUCCUAAAGAGUAACGGAGGAGCACGAAGGUUGGCUAAUCCUGGUCGGACAUCAGGAGGUUAGUGCAAUGGCAUAAGCCAGCUUGACUGCGAGCGUGACGGCGCGAGCAGGUGCGAAAGCAGGUCAUAGUGAUCCGGUGGUUCUGAAUGGAAGGGCCAUCGCUCAACGGAUAAAAGGUACUCCGGGGAUAACAGGCUGAUACCGCCCAAGAGUUCAUAUCGACGGCGGUGUUUGGCACCUCGAUGUCGGCUCAUCACAUCCUGGGGCUGAAGUAGGUCCCAAGGGUAUGGCUGUUCGCCAUUUAAAGUGGUACGCGAGCUGGGUUUAGAACGUCGUGAGACAGUUCGGUCCCUAUCUGCCGUGGGCGCUGGAGAACUGAGGGGGGCUGCUCCUAGUACGAGAGGACCGGAGUGGACGCAUCACUGGUGUUCGGGUUGUCAUGCCAAUGGCACUGCCCGGUAGCUAAAUGCGGAAGAGAUAAGUGCUGAAAGCAUCUAAGCACGAAACUUGCCCCGAGAUGAGUUCUCCCUGAGACUUAAAGUCUCCUGAAGGAACGUUGAAGACGACGACGUUGAUAGGCCGGGUGUGUAAGCGCAGCGAUGCGUUGAGCUAACCGGUACUAAUGAACCGUGAGGCUUAACCUUAC